This 77-nucleotide transfer RNA is filed under the name archaeon. Its description in RNAcentral is "tRNA-Ala". It matches the Rfam family "tRNA". From Rfam's summary of the family: Transfer RNA (tRNA) molecules are approximately 80 nucleotides in length. Their secondary structure includes four short double-helical elements and three loops (D, anti-codon, and T loops). RNAcentral also lists the same sequence under 1 other name. The record is from RNAcentral.
GGGCCGGUCGUCUAGCCUGGUAGGAUGCCGCCUUGGCACGGCGGAGGUCGGGGGUUCAAAUCCCCCCCGGUCCACCA